UUACGGCCACAUUACGUUGAAACACCGAUUCGUGUAUAAUCACUGAAGUUAAGCAACAUCGAGCUUGGUUAGUAGCUAGAUGGGUGACCACUUGGUAAUACCAGGUGUUGUAAG
Acanthosepion pharaonis is the source of this 114-nucleotide non-coding RNA. The record is from the annotation of a GenBank genome assembly. Lineage: Eukaryota; Metazoa; Mollusca; Cephalopoda; Sepiida; Sepiidae.